This 205-nucleotide non-coding RNA is filed under the name Candidatus Gemmiger stercoripullorum. RNAcentral's name for it is "6S RNA". It matches the Rfam family "6S / SsrS RNA". Rfam says of the family: E. coli 6S RNA was the first non coding RNA to be sequenced, but its function was unknown until recently. The record is from RNAcentral. Lineage: Bacteria; Bacillati; Bacillota; Clostridia; Eubacteriales; Oscillospiraceae.
UUGACCCUGCGCAGUUCGAUUUGUUGCGGUGUAUAUGAUCCUACUAAUCAAAUUUAGGGAGCCCGCCGUCUGACGCCGGAACGCAGACCUCCCGCCCCGCCUUUGCGCGGUGCGCGGAAGAAGGGAGUGCGAAAGCGCCAGCAGGGCACCCACCUGCUCAUACAGUAGGUUUUGAUUUGCCGCAGACGGCUGUUGCGGGGUUUUU